GGUCAAGCUACAAAGGGCGCAUGGUGAAUGCCUUGGCAUCAGGAGCCGAUGAAGGACGCGAUAAGCUGCGAUAAGCUUCGGGUAGACGCACAUAGUCAGAGAUCCGAAGAUUUCCGAAUGAGGAAACUCACAUGGGAAACCCCAUGUAUCAUAAAGUGAAUAUAUAGCUUUAUGAAGGUAUACCCAGGGAACUGAAACAUCUAAGUACCUGGAGGAAGAGAAAGAAAAAUCGAUUUUCUUAGUAGCGGCGAGCGAAAAGGAAAGAGCCCAAACCAGAGAUUUAUCUCUGGGGUUGCGGACAGAACAUAACGAGAAAUCAUAGUUAAUUGAACACAACUGGAAAGUUGGACCAUAGUGGGUAAUAGUCCCCGUAAGUGAAAACUAUGAUAAUCAGUUUCUGCACCAGAGUACCACGAGACACGUGAAACCUUGUGGGAAGCAGGGAGGACCACCUCCCAAGGCUAAAUACUACCCUGAUGACCGAUAGUGAAGCAGUACCGUGAGGGAAAGGUGAAAAGAACCCCGGGAGGGGAGUGGAAAUAGAACCUGAAACCAUGUGCCUACAACCGAUCAGAGCACCUUAUGUGUGUGAUGAUGUGCUUUUUGUAGAACGAGCCAACGAGUUACGGUAUGUAGCGAGGUUAAGUACUUAAGUACGGAGCCGAAGGGAAACCGAGUCUUAAUAGGGCGACUAGUUGCAUGCUGUAGACCCGAAACCGGGUGACCUAUCCAUGGCCAGGUUGAAGCGAGGGUAAAACCUCGUGGAGGACCGAACCACGUUGCUGUUGAAAAAGCAUGGGAUGAGCUGUGGAUAGCGGGAGAAAUUCCAAUCGAACUCGGAUAUAGCUGGUUCUCCUCGAAAUAGCUUUAGGGCUAGCGUCGGAAAAUGGAGUAGUGGAGGUAGAGCACUGAAUAGGCUAGGGGGCAUAGCGCUUACCGAACCUUAUCAACUCCGAAUGCCACAUACUAUCAGUCCGGCAGUCAGACUAUGAAAGAUAAGUUCCAUGGUCAAAAGGGAAACAGCCAGAUCGUCAGCUAAGGUCCAAAGUGUAAGUUAAGUGGAAAAGAUGUGGGAUU
RNAcentral lists this ribosomal RNA (1077 nucleotides) under Clostridium beijerinckii. RNAcentral describes it as "partial 23S ribosomal RNA". It matches the Rfam family "Bacterial large subunit ribosomal RNA", at positions 1 to 1082 of the family's 2925-position model. The record is from RNAcentral. Lineage: Bacteria; Bacillati; Bacillota; Clostridia; Eubacteriales; Clostridiaceae.